UCAGGGGCCGGCUGGACCGGGGUUAUAAAUGGACGGAGCAGCUGUCACCAUGGCGUCUAGAGCCCCGGUGCCAAGAAGCCGGGGCCCCCCACCGCCCUCUGGGGAGCUGGGUGGCUGGAUGGGCCCCACCUCGUAGGCGGCUCUGGCCAGGCCUGCACGGCCUGCGUUACGAGGCUGUGGCUGCAGCGCGAUCCCGGCUCUCCCCGGAAGGAAGUUCUUCCUAGGGGGCAGACAGCGGCCCUGCCUGUCCCAUUCAGGGCACCUCAGAUCUGGCACCAUGUGGCUUCCAGCUCUUCCCCACUGUCAGAAUGACCAGGAAAAGGAAACGUUUUGAAUCCAUUCAGGACAUGGAGGCAGCCAGGACAGCGCAACUAAAGACACUCGGGAAAGAGGGCUCCAGAGCUGCUGCAGGAAGCGGCCAGGACGGUGGGAGGAGCGUGUGUGAGGAAAAACUGCAUUGCCACGGAUCCCCCUGUGACACUGUCCUAGCGGUGAGCACCUCAUCUCGUCUUCCUUGCCCUCUGGAGCAGGUCCAGAGCCCAUCUGCCUGGCUGUGGAGGCUGCAGCCUGUGCUGCAUGUGUCUUGGUGGCUUUGCUUUCUAUCCACCUAUGCACGCCUUUCCACACCUUCCACAGGGUCUGGAAGGAGCAAGGACGGGGACCUGGACUCAAAUCCACACUGGGCUGAAGCCAAAGCUCCCUGUGUCCUGCAUGGGUGCUUCCAAGGCUGGAGGCUCGGCUCCGCAAUGCCUCCUGCUGAAGUCAGACCGGGGUGCUCACCUUCCACUGGCUCACGUGCUUGCAGGGGGUUUGUGAGGACCACAUUUCCCAGAGUUGGCCCUGUGGGACAGGAGGCCUGGUGUCAGCAGCAGCUGGAGUGGCCAUUCCUCGCCUGGGAUGCUGGGAAGGAGUUGCAGUUGGGAUGGCAGUCAAGACCCCGGGCCCGAGAGUGGCAGCUGGCCAUCCAGAUCAGCAGCGUCCAGAUCCCUGGCCAGGGCGGCAGAUGGUCCCCUCCCUGAGGCAGUGACGCCCCCCGUGGUCCCCGUGACGGGCUUCCUGGGGCAGGAGGCGUCUCAAUGCCGCCGCUGUCUGGCUCCCAACACAAACCCCAGCUUCCCAACUGCUCUCAGAAUAGAUGCACAUGUUGGAGUCUUUCCGCGGGCAGGAAACGUCACGACCAAGGACAUGGUGUUUUUGUCAUCUGAUGUCCUUGUCUGAAUGAUCCAGCAUGGCCGCCCAGGUGAACACCAGUGUGGCCCAGCCCUGGGUCCUGCUAGGCGGGUGCAUCUACUUCCUGUGCAUACCCAAGACAGCAGCGAGGCGAUGUCUGGUUUCUGGGGUGAUCAGCUGGGGAGGGGCUUCCUGCCUUCAGGGACCACUGGUAAACCCUGUGCUCUAGCCGAGCCGCCUACCCUGGCCGUUCAGAGAGACAGUGAGCGCCCUGAGGAUGCCCACGGCACACACAUUGCUGUGCUGUGUGCACUUUGUGUGUGUGCAGCGAGUGGUGUUCGGCGUGUGUGUCAUGUAGGGUGGGAGUGUCGGUUGUGAGCCCUGUGCUGUGUGUCCUGUGUAUGGCAUCCGGGUGUGUUGCGUGUGGGGUGCUUCUUGUGUGCUCUGCUGUGUUGUGUGCUGUUGUGAAGCGCACGUACGUACUGUACGUACCGUCACACCCAGGCCCUGUGGGCAUUUUGCUGAUGUGGGCGAGGCUGCCAGACCCAGAAGUCAGAAAGUGGGGCGGGCCCUCUGCCCACCAGCACACACGACACACAGCACAGACACAUUCAUGUGACACAGGUCCCACACACGCAGCAGAGGCCACGUACAUGUGGUCUGUAAUACAGACCACACACCACACAGCACAAAUGCACACACACCUCACAGAGCACACACAUACAACACAACACACACGACACAGGCUGUAUGCCAUAUGCACACAAGUGUGGACAUGAAAUACAGACCACACACACAGCACAGACCAUGCACACACAACCACACACCGCACACCAACAGUGCACACAACAGUCCAUGGACCUCACACACGUACAACCACACACACACAGACGGGUCACACAAACCAGGUCAUGGCAGGGCCCCUGCACAGGGCCAGGGAGGGAGGUGGCCUGGCCAGGACAGGAGCAACAGAUUCUGGGUCCCCAUGGGCGGGGACCAGUGGGGCAGGGUCACUGGCUGGGGAGGAGGCCUGGGCAGCUGUUGGGCACAGGACUUCUUGCGUCAGUCCUGCUGGGGACCUCUGUCACCUGCUCCCACACUCCCAGCCGCGCCUCCCCUCCCCUGCCUGGCCCUGUCUGGAGCUGCCCUCCAGCCCUGUGGCCAGCUGGAUACUUGUCCCAAGCUCUUUUCUGGUCCAUUUUAGUUAAGGGAGUCUGUUCUGCUCACCACUUCAGCUGGAGGCUUAAAUCCUGGGUCUGUCCCUGGGGCCCCACCCUGACUCCAAGGACCUCAUCUUCCAGCCCAGAAAGCUUUGAUCAUGUACCUAUCAACAAAAACCACUGGCACACCCAGCACUUGAUGUACAGAUUAAAUAAAAAUCACGGGAAGCCUUUGUCUUGGAUGAAGCUCCUAUCCUG
This is a non-coding RNA of Heterocephalus glaber (naked mole-rat), 2588 nucleotides long. The record is from RefSeq and is a predicted model, not a curated record. NCBI's taxonomy places the organism in Eukaryota, Metazoa, Chordata, Mammalia, Rodentia, Bathyergidae.